CAAGUGCAACAGUAUCAACAUUAAAAGUAUAAAAACAACUGGAACAAAACACAAAAGAAAACAAGGAAGUAUCUCAAGUACAACAGACACUAAUUCAUUAAACACGAUUGUUUGAAAACCCAAUUCAACUACUUCUAAUUGCCUAUAUUAAUGUACUGAUUAUGUUUGUGGUGCAGGUUGGAGCAGCAGUGUACCUGAGCCUUGUCAGCCUCCGCUCUCAUCCUGUCAGCAAACACCAGGGCUACAUGCUGACCGGGGUUGAAGAACCCUGGAGACUAGUCGGCCUGCAUCAGCUCACACCAGCGGAACAAGUCGCGCAGGUAGAACUCCCAGGGACUUCCCUUCUGACCCCAGCGCCGCUUCACACACACCUCCUGGACCAGCUGAAAUGCAGAAAGAAAACCUCACUUGUAAAACUUGGCCUGAUGCUCGCCUCGCAGGUCAUAUCUUCUGACAGCAGACAGAGAGGAACUCACCCUGUUACUGAACUCAACCAUCUUAGCUAUGAUCUCCUUAUCGAUGCUGGUGAAGAUGGAGUCUCCGAUGAACUCCAUGUCUUUGCUCCUUCAACAGUCAGCGGACCAAAUGGAGGACAGAGAUUCAGAAUGUCCUCACCCAAAUCAAGGAGGAAUCCUCCAACCAAGAUCUCUCUGCAAUUCUGGUCAUGAUGGCACAUUUCAAGGAAAAAGAAGAGGCUCUUUUCCUUUUGGCUGAUGACUGCAACCAAUGAUGAAAUUGAGGCUCAACUGACCCUACCAGGCACACCAAGGCUCAUCAUGUUAGGGGACCCUUUUACUUUCACAUAAUUACAGAAGAUGUACUGUUGUGAUCUGAUGUUGUGACCUCACUACUUGUGAUUUUGUAUUUUAAUUGGUCUGUUGUAUUUGAAUCUGUCAUAAACUGUUGUAUUUUAAUCUGUCAUAAACUGUUGUAUUUAUAUCAGUUAUGAACUGUUAUAUUUAUAUCUGUUAUGAACUGUCCUAUUUUACCAUGUUUUUCAUAUUGAACUUAAUAUUGAAAUGAAAUCAAUAAACAUAUUUUA
Long non-coding RNA from Trematomus bernacchii (emerald rockcod), 1042 nucleotides. RefSeq lists it as uncharacterized. The record is from RefSeq and is a predicted model, not a curated record. The transcript is spliced from 4 exons. NCBI's taxonomy places the organism in Eukaryota, Metazoa, Chordata, Actinopteri, Perciformes, Nototheniidae.